This is a non-coding RNA of Arabidopsis lyrata subsp. lyrata, 75 nucleotides long. The record is from Rfam. NCBI's taxonomy places the organism in Eukaryota, Viridiplantae, Streptophyta, Magnoliopsida, Brassicales, Brassicaceae.
UCGAGCCGGAUGAUAAAAAAUUAUCAUGUCCGGUUCCCUCGGGGGAUGGAUCCAUAAGAAUUCACCUAUCCCAAU